Molecule: long non-coding RNA, 318 nt
Filed under: Salvia miltiorrhiza (redroot sage)
Lineage: Eukaryota; Viridiplantae; Streptophyta; Magnoliopsida; Lamiales; Lamiaceae
Description: long non-coding RNA (SMIL_LNC010436)
Source: RNAcentral
UUUUAUUUUACAUACAAUGUAUCUUGAGUUAUAUAAGCUCUGAUAUUUCAUGAAAAUUAUCUGUUUAUCCAAUAUAAAUGUUUUUAUGUGCGUUCUGUAAUUGUUUAAGGCUCACUUAAGUAUCGAUCGAGAUUCUCAUUUGGCCUAACACGCUAAAUGAGGAUUGUGUACACAGGGUUAGUGGCUCGAUGGGUUGAUCACCAUCGUGCACUAACAGAUUUAGAACGUUAUAAGGGUGGGUGCUUGACAGGAGGUUAUCCGGAGCACGGUGCUUGACAGGAGGUUAUCCGGAGCACAGUUAAGGUUAUUGAUUCUGAC